UCCAAAUAUUUCCUCUUGAAUGUCUCUUCAAUAAGCUUCAAAAACACUUAAAAACGAGCAGCUAUGGUGGAAAAUAACCUCACAUUCGCGAACAAAACGUCUUUAAAACAUUCUGUCCAGGCCUGACAUUCCUUCUUCGCGAACGCGGUCAACCUCUCAUGAACACGUAGCACCAAAUUACAUUGACCAAUUUUUACUUUAUGCGAAUGACAGUCGCGAAAACAAUGCUUCCACAGCCUUUAACUUCGCGAAUGCAUUCAUUUCCACGCAAACAUGAUGAAUUAUUGACCAUCAGCCCUUAAUCCUUUUCUGCGAUUGCGUACACAUACUCGCGAACAUGAUGAAGUCCCCUCACAAGCCUUCGCGAAUGCGGAAUGGACCCACGCAAACGUGAAGCUCAGAGAACUCAGCCCUUCGCGAACGGGAGCUCCCCUUCGCGAACGUGAAGGCCAAAAUACCUGCAACACCAAAACUGAAAAUCUGCAAUCUCCUAAAGAUAAAAAUGGUCCGAUUGACCACCCGAAACUCACCCGAGACUCCCGGGACCUCAACCAAAGUCACCAACAUAUCCCAUUACAUCAUUCAAACUUGUUCCAAUCAUCAAAAUACCUCAAACAACAUCGAAAUACCUAAAACUCAUCGAAUUCAAGCCUAAGUUUUCUAAAAAGUUGCGAAAUACUCUUUCAAUCAAAACUCGACCAAACCACAUCCGAAUGACCAGAAAUAUUACACACACAUCCCAAAUCUGAUAACAAAGCUACAAAAACUCUCAGAGUUCCAUUUCUACCCUUGAAUCAAAAUCUCACAUAUGAACCGGAAAUCGCCAAAAUACUAACUUCGCCAAUUCAAGCCUAAUUCUAGACCGGACCUCCAAAGCCAAUUCUGAUCAUGCUCCUAAGUCAAAAAUCAUCCAAUGAAGCUAACCAAAUCCUAAAAAUUCUGGUCCGAGCUUAUAUACAAAUAAGUCAACUCUUGGUCAAACUUUUCAACUUCAAAGCUUUCAACUGAAACUGUUUCUUCCUAAUAUAUUCUUAUUUUCCUAAAACCACAAUCAAUGAUUUACAUCAGUCAUAAUACUUUACACGGGGCAAAUCGUUCCCAAGAACUGGCGAUCAAAGUGUAAAAGCUCAAAACAACCGCUCGGGUCGUUACAAACACUUAAGCACUGUGAGCACAUGAUUUUUGCCCUAUAUGAAUUACUCCUAUAAAUUCAAAACAAAAUAAUUUCUUUCGUUGCUUGCAAUUUGUGGAUUUUUGUGGCAUUUUGCAUCAAUUGUCUACAUUUGUUUUUGCACGUUUAUUUAAUUUAAUUAAUGAAAAUACAAAAUAUGUGCA
RNAcentral lists this long non-coding RNA (1335 nucleotides) under Nicotiana benthamiana. RNAcentral's name for it is "long non-coding RNA (NBEN_LNC041437)". The record is from RNAcentral. Lineage: Eukaryota; Viridiplantae; Streptophyta; Magnoliopsida; Solanales; Solanaceae.